AUGGCCGAAGCCGAAGGAGUCGAGGCGCCGGGCUGUGAACCUAGCGAAACCGGUGCGAGUCCGGUCGGUCAUC
This 73-nucleotide transfer RNA is filed under the name Actinophytocola oryzae. It matches the Rfam family "tRNA". From Rfam's summary of the family: Transfer RNA (tRNA) molecules are approximately 80 nucleotides in length. Their secondary structure includes four short double-helical elements and three loops (D, anti-codon, and T loops). Further hydrogen bonds mediate the characteristic L-shaped molecular structure. tRNAs have two regions of fundamental functional importance: the anti-codon, which is responsible for specific mRNA codon recognition, and the 3' end, to which the tRNAs corresponding amino acid is attached (by aminoacyl-tRNA synthetases). tRNAs cope with the degeneracy of the genetic code in two manners: having more than one tRNA (with a specific anti-codon) for a particular amino acid; and 'wobble' base-pairing, i.e. permitting non-standard base-pairing at the 3rd anti-codon position. Lineage: Bacteria; Bacillati; Actinomycetota; Actinomycetes; Pseudonocardiales; Pseudonocardiaceae. The record is from Rfam by way of RNAcentral.